Molecule: ribosomal RNA, 440 nt
Filed under: uncultured bacterium
Lineage: Bacteria
Description: partial 16S ribosomal RNA
Rfam family: Bacterial small subunit ribosomal RNA
Source: RNAcentral
CUACGGGAUGCAGCAGUGGGGAAUAUUGGACAAUGGGCGAGAGCCUGAUCCAGCAAUUCCGCGUGGAUGAAGAAGGGUUUCGGCUCGUAAAGUCCUUUUAGUUGGGAAGAUAAUGACGGUACCAACAGAAAAAGCACCGGCUAAUUACGUGCCAGCAGCCGCGGUAAGACGUAAGGGUGCAAGCGUUAUCCGGAAUUACUAGGCGUAAAGGGCAUCUAGGCGGCAUAUCAAGUCAGAAGUGAAAAGUCUGGGCUCAACCGAGGCCUUGCUUUUGAAACUGAUACGCUAGAGUACGGGAGAGGAGGGCGGAACUACAAGUGUAGCGGUGAAAUGCGUAGAUAUUUGUAGGAAUGCCAAUGACGAAGGUAGCUCUCUGGACCGAUACUGACGCUAAAGUGCGAAAGCUAGGGGAGCGAACAGGAUUAGAUACCCUGGUAGUC